CCCCGUCGUGCCCGGACC
RNAcentral lists this small nuclear RNA (18 nucleotides) under Arabidopsis thaliana (thale cress). RNAcentral describes it as "snRNA_16902". Lineage: Eukaryota; Viridiplantae; Streptophyta; Magnoliopsida; Brassicales; Brassicaceae. The record is from RNAcentral.